UGCACGGUGGCGCAGUGGGUAGCGCUGUUGCCUUGCAGCAAGAAAGUUCUGGGUUCGAUUCCCAACGUGUUUUCCCCAUGCAU
Non-coding RNA from Ataeniobius toweri, 83 nucleotides. The record is from the annotation of a GenBank genome assembly. NCBI's taxonomy places the organism in Eukaryota, Metazoa, Chordata, Actinopteri, Cyprinodontiformes, Goodeidae.